Molecule: ribosomal RNA, 450 nt
Filed under: uncultured bacterium
Lineage: Bacteria
Description: bacterial SSU rRNA
Rfam family: Bacterial small subunit ribosomal RNA
Source: RNAcentral
AACGCGAAGAACCUUACCUGGGCUUGAACUGCUGGAAGUAGUCUUGAUGAAAGUCGAGACGGACCGUUAAGUCGGAGACCAGCAGAGGUGCUGCAUGGCUGUCGUCAGCUCGUGUCGUGAGAUGUUGGGUUAAGUCCCGCAACGAGCGCAACCCUUACCCUAUGUUGCCACGUCCGUAAAGGACAGCACUCUUAGGGAACUGCCUCGGACAACGGGGAGGAAGGUGGGGAUGACGUCAAGUCACCAUGGCCUUUAUGUCCAGGGCUACACACGUGCUACAAUGGCCGGUACAGCGAGCAGCAAAUCCGCAAGGAGGAGCAAAUCUCUAAAAGCCGGCCCCAGUUCAGAUAGUGGGCUGCAAUUCGCCCACUUGAAGGUGGAAUCGCUAGUAAUCGGGGAUCAGCUGGCCCCGGUGAAUACGUUCCCGGGCCUUGUACACACCGACGCGUA